GUUGAAGGAUUUGGAAAAUUCCGCUAAAGAGGGUGAAAGCCCCGUAGACGAAAUGCUGACAACACCUAGGAGGAUCCUGAGUACGGCGGAACACGAGAAAUUCCGUCGGAAUCCGCGGGGACCAUCCCGCAAGGCUAAAUACUCCCUAGUGACCGAUAGUGAACCAGUACCGUGAGGGAAAGGUGAAAAGCACCCCGGAAGGGGAGUGAAAUAGAUCCUGAAACCGUGUGCCUACAACAAGUCAAAGCUCGUUAAUGAGUGAUGGCGUGCCUUUUGUAGAAUGAACCGGCGAGUUACGAUUGCAUGCGAGGUUAAGUCGAAGAGACGGAGCCGCAGCGAAAGCGAGUCUGAAUAGGGCGAAUGAGUAUGUAGUCGUAGACCCGAAACCAUGUGAUCUACCCAUGUCCAGGUUGAAGGUGCGGUAAAACGCACUGGAGGACCGAACCCACGUACGUUGAAAAGUGCGGGGAUGAGGUGUGGGUAGCGGAGAAAUUCCAAACGAACUUGGAGAUAGCUGGUUCUCUCCGAAAUAGCUUUAGGGCUAGCCUCGGAAUUGAGAAUGAUGGAGGUAGAGCACUGUUUGGACUAGGGGCCCAUCUCGGGUUACCGAAUUCAGAUAAACUCCGAAUGCCAUUCAUUUAUAUCCGGGAGUCAGACUGCGAGUGAUAAGAUCCGUAGUCGAAAGGGAAACAGCCCAGACCACCAGCUAAGGUCCCAAAAUAUAUGUUAAGUGGAAAAGGAUGUGGGGUUGCACAGACAACUAGGAUGUUGGCUUAGAAGCAGCCACCAUUUAAAGAGUGCGUAAUAGCUCACUAGUCGAGUGACCCUGCGCCGAAAAUGUACCGGGGCUAAACAUAUUACCGAAGCUGUGGACUACACCAUUAGGUGUAGUGGUAGGAGAGCGUUCUAAGGGCGUUGAAGGUCGAUCGUGAGGACGGCUGGAGCGCUUAGAAGUGAGAAUGCCGGUAUGAGUAGCGAAAGACAGGUGAGAAUCCUGUCCACCGUAUGACUAAGGUUUCCUGGGGAAGGCUCGUCCGCCCAGGGUUAGUCGGGACCUAAGCCGAGGCCGAUAGGCGUAGGCGAUGGACAACAGGUUGAUAUUCCUGUACCAGUUGUUUUUGUUUGAGCAAUGGAGGGACGCAGUAGGCUAAGGAAUGCAUGCGAUUGGAAGUGCAUGUCCAAGCAAUGAGUCUUGAGUAGAGUUAAAUGCUUUACUCUUUAAGGACAAGUUGUGACGGGGAGCGAAAUAAUAGUAGCGAAGUUCCUGAUGUCACACUGCCAAGAAAAGCUUCUAGUGAGAAAACAACUGCCCGUACCGUAAACCGACACAGGUAGUCGAGGAGAGUAUCCUAAGGUGAGCGAGCGAACUCUCGUUAAGGAACUCGGCAAAAUGACCCCGUAACUUCGGGAGAAGGGGUGCUGACUUCGGUCAGCCGCAGUGAAUAGGCCCAAGCGACUGUUUAUCAAAAACACAGGUCUCUGCAAAAUCGUAAGAUGAAGUAUAGGGGCUGACGCCUGCCCGGUGCUGGAAG
This 1532-nucleotide ribosomal RNA is filed under the name Enterococcus faecalis. RNAcentral's name for it is "partial 23S ribosomal RNA". It matches the Rfam family "Bacterial large subunit ribosomal RNA", at positions 332 to 1875 of the family's 2925-position model. The record is from RNAcentral. Lineage: Bacteria; Bacillati; Bacillota; Bacilli; Lactobacillales; Enterococcaceae.